Molecule: transfer RNA, 88 nt
Filed under: Aggregatibacter actinomycetemcomitans D11S-1
Lineage: Bacteria; Pseudomonadati; Pseudomonadota; Gammaproteobacteria; Pasteurellales; Pasteurellaceae
Rfam family: tRNA
About the family: Transfer RNA (tRNA) molecules are approximately 80 nucleotides in length. Their secondary structure includes four short double-helical elements and three loops (D, anti-codon, and T loops).
Source: Rfam by way of RNAcentral
GGCCAUGUAGCUUUAAGGAAAGUAGCCCCAGCUUAAGAUAAAGGCUCUUUAUCUGGGGUAGAUGUUGGUUCGAAUCCAGCCAUGGCCG